RNAcentral lists this ribosomal RNA (433 nucleotides) under uncultured bacterium. RNAcentral's name for it is "partial 16S ribosomal RNA". It matches the Rfam family "Bacterial small subunit ribosomal RNA", at positions 29 to 507 of the family's 1533-position model. The record is from RNAcentral.
AACGAACGCUGGCGGCAUGCCUAACACAUGCAAGUCGAACGAGACCUUCGGGUCUAGUGGCGCACGGGUGCGUAACGCGUGGGAACCUGCCCUUAGGUUCGGAAUAACUCCCCGAAAGGGGUGCUAAUACCGGAUAAUGUCUUCGGACCAAAGAUUUAUCGCCUUUUGAUGGGCCCGCGUUGGAUUAGCUAGUUGGUAGGGUAAAAGCCUACCAAGGCGACGAUCCAUAGCUGGUCUGAGAGGAUGAUCAGCCACACUGGGACUGAGACACGGCCCAGACUCCUACGGGAGGCAGCAGUGGGGAAUAUUGGACAAUGGGCGAAAGCCUGAUCCAGCAAUGCCGCGUGGGGGAUGAAGGCAUUAGUGUUGUAAAGCGCUUUUACCCGGGAUGAGAAUGACAGUACCGGGAGAAUAAGCUCCGGCUAACUCCGUG